UAACGACUCUCGNNAACGGAUAUCUCGGCUCUCGCAUCGAUGAAGAACGUAGCGAAAUGCGAUACUUGGUGUGAAUUGCAGAAUCCCGUGAACCAUCGAGUCUUUGAACGCAAGUUGCGCCCGAAGCCUUCGGGCCGAGGGCACGCCUGCCUGGGCGUCACGC
RNAcentral lists this ribosomal RNA (163 nucleotides) under Strobilanthes frondosa. RNAcentral's name for it is "5.8S ribosomal RNA". It matches the Rfam family "5.8S ribosomal RNA". Rfam says of the family: 5.8S ribosomal RNA (5.8S rRNA) is a component of the large subunit of the eukaryotic ribosome. It is transcribed by RNA polymerase I as part of the 45S precursor that also contains 18S and 28S rRNA. Functionally, it is thought that 5.8S rRNA may be involved in ribosome translocation. Lineage: Eukaryota; Viridiplantae; Streptophyta; Magnoliopsida; Lamiales; Acanthaceae. The record is from RNAcentral.